RNAcentral lists this ribosomal RNA (497 nucleotides) under uncultured bacterium. RNAcentral describes it as "partial 16S ribosomal RNA". It matches the Rfam family "Bacterial small subunit ribosomal RNA", at positions 28 to 507 of the family's 1533-position model. The record is from RNAcentral.
GAUGAACGCUGGCGGCGUGCCUAAUACAUGCCAGUCGAGCGAACAGAUAAGGAGCUUGCUCCUUUGACGUUAGCGGCGGACGGGUGAGUAACACGUGGGUAACCUACCUAUCAGACUGGAAUAACUCCGGGAAACCGGGGCUAAUGCCGGAUAACAUUUAGAACCGCAUGGUUCUAAAGUGAAAGAUGGUUUUGCUGUCACUUAUAGAUGGACCCGCGCCGUAUUAGCUAGUUGGUAAGGUAACGGCUUACCAAGGCAACGAUACGUAGCCGACCGGAGAGAGGGAUAGGCGACACUGGAACUGAGACACGGUCCAGACUCCUACGGGAGGCAGCAGUAGGGAAUCUUACGCAAUGGGCGAAAGCCUGACGGAGCAACCCCGCGUGAGUGAUGAAGGUCUUCGGAGCGUAAAACUCUGUUAUUAGGGAAGAACAAAUGUGUAAGUAACUGUGCACGUCUUGACGGUACCUAAUCAGAAAGCCACGGCUAACUACGUG